GACGAACGCUGGCGGCGUGCCUAAUACAUGCAAGUAGAACGCUGAAGAGAGGAGCUUGCUCUUCUUGGAUGAGUUGCGAACGGGUGAGUAACGCGUAGGUAACCUGCCUGGUAGCGGGGGAUAACUAUUGGAAACGAUAGCUAAUACCGCAUAAAAUGGAUUAUCGCAUGAUAAUCCAUUGAAAGGUGCAACUGCAUCACUACCAGAUGGACCUGCGUUGUAUUAGCUAGUUGGUGGGGUAACGGCUCACCAAGGCGACGAUACAUAGCCGACCUGAGAGGGUGAUCGGCCACACUGGGACUGAGACACGGCCCAGACUCCUACGGGAGGCAGCAGUAGGGAAUCUUCGGCAAUGGACGGAAGUCUGACCGAGCAAUGCCGCGUGAGUGAAGAAGGUUUUCGGAUCGUAAAGCUCUGUUGUAAGAGAAGAACGAGUGUGAGAGUGGAAAGUUCACACUGUGACGGUAGCUUACCAGAAAGGGACGGCUAACUACGUG
Molecule: ribosomal RNA, 497 nt
Filed under: uncultured bacterium
Lineage: Bacteria
Description: partial 16S ribosomal RNA
Rfam family: Bacterial small subunit ribosomal RNA
Source: RNAcentral